CGGGGCAUUGGAGACAGGUGGUGCAUGGUUGUCGUCAGCUCGUGUCGUGAGAUGUUGGGUUAAGUCCCGCAACGAGCGCAACCCCUAUUUCCAGUAGCCAGCAAGAAAGAUGGGAACUCUGGAGAGACUGCCCGGGAUAACUGGGAGGAAGGCGGGGAUGACGUCAAAUCAUCAUGCCCCUUAUGAUCAGGGCUACACACGUGCUACAAUGGCGUAAACAAAGGGAAGCGAAGUGGUGACACGAAGCAAAUCCGAAAAACAACGUCUCAGUUCGGAUUGUAGUCUGCAACUCGACUACAUGAAGCUGGAAUCGCUAGUAAUCGCGAAUCAGAAUGUCGCGGUGAAUACGUUCCCGGGUCUUGUACACACCGCCCGUCACACCAUGGGAGUCGGAAAUGCCCGAAGUCAGUGACCCAACCGAGAGGAGGGAGCUGCCGAAGGUGGAGCCGGUAACUGGGGUGAAGUCGUAACAAGGUAGCCGUAUCGGAAGGUGCGGCUGGAUCACCUCCUU
RNAcentral lists this ribosomal RNA (511 nucleotides) under uncultured bacterium. Its description in RNAcentral is "bacterial SSU rRNA". It matches the Rfam family "Bacterial small subunit ribosomal RNA", at positions 1021 to 1532 of the family's 1533-position model. The record is from RNAcentral.